This 845-nucleotide ribosomal RNA is filed under the name Salmonella enterica subsp. enterica serovar Idikan. Its description in RNAcentral is "partial 23S ribosomal RNA". It matches the Rfam family "Bacterial large subunit ribosomal RNA", at positions 343 to 1190 of the family's 2925-position model. The record is from RNAcentral. Lineage: Bacteria; Pseudomonadati; Pseudomonadota; Gammaproteobacteria; Enterobacterales; Enterobacteriaceae.
UGGAAAGGCGCGCGAUACAGGGUGACAGCCCCGUACACAAAAGCGCAUGUGCUGUGAGCUCGAUGAGUAGGGCGGGACACGUGGUAUCCUGUCUGAAUAUGGGGGGACCAUCCUCCAAGGCUAAAUACUCCUGACUGACCGAUAGUGAACCAGUACCGUGAGGGAAAGGCGAAAAGAACCCCGGCGAGGGGAGUGAAAAAGAACCUGAAACCGUGUACGUACAAGCAGUGGGAGCACAGGUUUACCUGUGUGACUGCGUACCUUUUGUAUAAUGGGUCAGCGACUUAUAUUCUGUAGCAAGGUUAACCGAAUAGGGGAGCCGCAGGGAAACCGAGUCUUAACCGGGCGUUAAGUUGCAGGGUAUAGACCCGAAACCCGGUGAUCUAGCCAUGGGCAGGUUGAAGGUUGGGUAACACUAACUGGAGGACCGAACCGACUAAUGUUGAAAAAUUAGCGGAUGACCUGUGGCUGGGGGUGAAAGGCCAAUCAAACCGGGAGAUAGCUGGUUCUCCCCGAAAGCUAUUUAGGUAGCGCCUCGUGAAUUCAUCUCCGGGGGUAGAGCACUGUUUCGGCUAGGGGGCCAUCCCGGCUUACCAACCCGAUGCAAACUGCGAAUACCGGAGAAUGUUAUCACGGGAGACACACGGCGGGUGCUAACGUCCGUCGUGAAGAGGGAAACAACCCAGACCGCCAGCUAAGGUCCCAAAGUCAUGGUUAAGUGGGAAACGAUGUGGGAAGGCCCAGACAGCCAGGAUGUUGGCUUAGAAGCAGCCAUCAUUUAAAGAAAGCGUAAUAGCUCACUGGUCGAGUCGGCCUGCGCGGAAGAUGUAACGGGGCUAAACCAU